RNAcentral lists this ribosomal RNA (273 nucleotides) under uncultured Ralstonia sp. Its description in RNAcentral is "partial 16S ribosomal RNA". It matches the Rfam family "Bacterial small subunit ribosomal RNA", at positions 524 to 796 of the family's 1533-position model. The record is from RNAcentral. Lineage: Bacteria; Pseudomonadati; Pseudomonadota; Betaproteobacteria; Burkholderiales; Burkholderiaceae.
UACGUAGGGUCCAAGCGUUAAUCGGAAUUACUGGGCGUAAAGCGUGCGCAGGCGGUUGUGCAAGACCGAUGUGAAAUCCCCGGGCUUAACUUGGGAAUUGCAUUGGUGACUGCACGGCUAGAGUGUGUCAGAGGGGGGUAGAAUUCCACGUGUAGCAGUGAAAUGCGUAGAGAUGAGGAGGAAUACCGAUGGUGAAGGCAGCCCCCUGGGAUAACACUGACGCUCAUGCACGAAAGCGUGGGGAGCAAACAGGAUUAGAUACCCGUGUAGUCC